AAGCAUGGUGGGCAAUGAUAUUGUGCUCCGUUUUUGUGGGGCAUCAGUGCAGCCGUACCGUGCAAGAGAAACAUCUACAGGAGACAUCAGGGCAACCAGUUGUGAAGUACAGACUGAGUUGUAGUAUACGUCUCCUACAGUG
Spea bombifrons (plains spadefoot toad) is the source of this 142-nucleotide small nucleolar RNA. RefSeq annotates it as small nucleolar RNA U109. NCBI's taxonomy places the organism in Eukaryota, Metazoa, Chordata, Amphibia, Anura, Pelobatidae. The record is from RefSeq and is a predicted model, not a curated record. The transcript has a single exon.